UACGUAGGGGGCUAGCGUUGUCCGGAAUCAUUGGGCGUAAAGCGCGUGUAGGCGGUCCGGUAAGUCCGCUGUGAAAGUCGGGGGCUCAACCCUCGAAUGCUGGUGGAUACUGUCGGGCUAGAGUGCGGAAGAGGCGAGUGGAAUUCCUGGUGUAGCGGUGAAAUGCGCAGAUAUCAGGAGGAACACCAAUUGCGAAGGCAGCUCGCUGGGACGUUACUGACGCUGAGACGCGAAAGCGUGGGGAGCAAACAGG
RNAcentral lists this ribosomal RNA (253 nucleotides) under uncultured bacterium. Its description in RNAcentral is "partial 16S ribosomal RNA". It matches the Rfam family "Bacterial small subunit ribosomal RNA", at positions 524 to 776 of the family's 1533-position model. The record is from RNAcentral.